GAGACUCUAUCCACCCCCACACAUACACACAAAAAUUAAAAUAAAUAAUAAUGGAAGAAAAAAAAAGAGAGAGACCUCGCAUACCGUAAAACGUUUUAAAGGUCCGUUAUCUGAGCACGAGGAACUAACACAGUUGGUUAACCCUGUGUAAAGUUCUGUUUGUGGUUCCUUUUCAAUUAGCGGUUACAGUACCAGUAAUUGAAGCUACCGGUUUCUCGAAAAAGAUAUUUAAAAAAAUAAUAAUAAUAAAAAACCGACUUGUUUUUGGUUUUCAUUUGAGAAGACAGUAGAGAUAAGGGUAGGAUGUGGACGCAGUGAACUCACCCCGCACUCACCGUGAACACGGAUUUAACGUUAACGGACUACCUGAGAAUCAAUUUUUCAUCGUAGAGUCACUUUGGACGGAUUUAACAGAGAUUUAUUCGGUUUAUUUGACAGAUUUCCAACACUGGACCACCGCCUUCCCAGAGGCUCGUGACCAAAGCUCAGUGGAUCAGCAGUGUGAGCUAACGUGUCGGCCAGUCGGCUAUUGUUUUUACGUUCGUCAUUCGGAGCGAGUGAGAGACCGAAACCCGUGUGUUGAUAACACCCCCAAUGAUAUGUGCGUGGGAGGCCGAUGCCUGCUUCCUCUCAGAGUGAGGGGUGUGAUGGCAUGCUUGGCUCGGGUGUGGUGUGUGAUUGGUGCAGCAUUUGUGUGUGUGGGAGGCUGAUGCCUGUUCAUCUCUGCACUUGGGCUCAUCCCCUCUCCAAUGGCCCACUGAUGGAGCAUCUGAUUCUCACGCUGCUGACCUGAGUGGAGUCCAAGCCCUGACAGCAUGAAGCAUGCAGAAUGGCUCUACACAGUUUGCCGUGCAUUCCGGGACUUAUCUUUGACCCUGAGGCUCCUCGAAUCCAAGCUUUGUGUGAUAGAUCUGUGAAAAUACAGUUAAUGUAGCAGCUUGAAUAUUUGCUUCUAAAUAUCCAUGUGUGAAGGUGUGUGUGUGUGUGUGUGUGUGUGUGUGUGUGUGUGUGUG
Ictalurus punctatus (channel catfish) is the source of this 1013-nucleotide long non-coding RNA. The record is from Ensembl. Lineage: Eukaryota; Metazoa; Chordata; Actinopteri; Siluriformes; Ictaluridae.